This is an RNA transcript of Solanum dulcamara, 3168 nucleotides long. RefSeq lists it as uncharacterized. The record is from RefSeq and is a predicted model, not a curated record. NCBI's taxonomy places the organism in Eukaryota, Viridiplantae, Streptophyta, Magnoliopsida, Solanales, Solanaceae. The transcript is spliced from 11 exons.
AAAAACACGUACAAUCUGAUCUAAACUAUCUUUGACUCAUUAACCAUUCACAUCAGCGCGUGUCAUACACUUUCAUUAAGUUGCGACUGGAGUUAUCUCUUGUCAAAUUCAAGAACGUCUAAGGGUAGUUUGGACAUGGCAAACACCACCACCUCCGUCUUCUCCCAAAUCAAACCCUAGCGUUGCUUUUUUGGCUCUUUUUUCAUAUCAAGAUUGAGAAUUUCUAUACAUAAAUUUUUGGGGUUUGUGAAUUAUCCUUCAAAGCCUUUGCUGAAACAAGGGUCAUUAAUGGACUUGGGAGAUUGUGAUUUUGUUAUCUGAAGUAGUAUCUUGUGUAUGAAAGAUUUAAUCGUUGUGGUUAUAUGUGGGGGGUCUAUCGGAAACAGCCCCUCUAUGUCCCAAGAUUUAUGGAUCAUGUGAGUAGUGAUAAUCAAUUGGAUAUUCCUGAUACCCCUAAUAGAUUAGCUGCUAAGGAUCUGAAUGGGAGGAGGUAUGCCAAUGUAGAGAGUGAUUUGUCUGCAUCAGGGAAUUCAGGAUAUGGGAAUGUUUCUGCUGAGAAUGGGAAUCAACCUAAUGUCAAUGGUGUUGGAAGAAAAAGAUUGUUUAUGCGUCCUCCAAGAAGAAUCCCUAGUUCCAUGAAAACUGAAUGCCAUGCUAAUUCAUCAGCUUCUAGUAUGGGAGAUACUUUACCUUUAAGAAAUGGUGUUCCAUUCAAGGAUUCCUCCACUCCUAAUUCCAAGGAGAAACAUAACUUGCAUCUUGCUAAAAGUGGAAUCACAGAAUCAAAAAGUCAGCUAGACCGUUCUGUCAUAGACCUGACAAAGCAAAGUGGGUCGUCAACUUGUGUAUUUGUUAAGGCUCCUACAUUUGGAGUACAGGAUAUUGCUGGAGAUGAAAAAUUUAGAUUGCGAUCAGCAGGGAUGAAUGAACACUCUCAUUUGCACAGGAUAACUUCCACACCAUCCAGCAGUACCAGCAAAGGAAAGGAAACUGCUGAUUUAGUUAAACUUGGUUUAAGUAAAUCUCAUGGAGAAAAGGAUUCUGCUAUUGAUGCACAGGUUGGAGCUCGGAAGGAGGGUUCUGCAUCUCUUGCUAACUCACCAAGAGUAAUUGGGCAGAAAAGAUUGGUCCGAAAUGGAUGUAUAUCCCCUAUGAACAUAGCUAAGGCCAAAAAGCCAGCUGGGAUGGAGAACCACAGUAUUUUAAUCCAUGGUCUAACUGAUACCAGUCUUGCAGCAUCAUCCGCUGGUACUAGCUCAGAUAGUGCUAAAGAAAUGAUAUCUAAAGAUGGUAUCUCUUCAGUAAAGGGUAAGGGGGUGGUAAUCCAUUCUUCUCCUUCAAAAGAACGUGGCCCUACACAUACAUCUAGCAGUGAUUCCAGUAGAGAUGUGUUCAGAAGCUUUGAUGAAUCCGGUGGAUGGAAAAGUACACGCAACCGCAGUUCGAACAUGAACUUUCCAUUGCCCAAUUUGCACAGGACUUCAGAAAGAGAUAGUGCACACUUUGUCUCUCAUCCCAGUGGGAGUAGGGUGAUGAGAAGAGAUGAUGCAACUAGUUGUCAAGAUUCGGCUUCUAAUAAUCAAGAUUCAGCUUCUAUUAGACAUCUUUAUGGUGUAUCUGCAGGGACGAAGGGAUCCCCUCUUGGAACUCAAUGUCGCCAAAUUAAUGGACAUCGUACUGCACAGAGCACAGUUAAGAAAAGACCAAAGCAGGGACCUGCCUCAGGAAGCCAUUGUAAAUGUUCUACAUCGGUCUCUGAUGAUGUAGACAUCAUUUGCCUUGCCUCACCUGAAAGUAGGGUUAAUACAAGGUCCACCAGAAACCCAAGUCAUGUAGGUACAGCCGUAGAACCAGUGAUUGUAGCAGAUAGUCCCUCCUCUACCACAAGAUAUGAAGGCUCUCGUGUUGUAUGUGGAAGUAGUAGGAAUGAAGAUGCUAGAGCCAGUCAAGUAGAUGCUGAUGAAAGGCUCGCACGGGAACUCCAAGAACAGUUGUACAAUGAGGUCCCUUCCUUCGGCGUUGGUGAGAUUGAUGAAGAUGUAGCCUUGGCUUUAGUGCAGGAGGAUUUCCUACAUGCUUCCUCUGGAUCAGAGAACCAACUACCUGGUCUUAAUGGAUCAUCGGUAUCAAACUUACGCAGAAGGCAACCAAGAAUUGCUUCCAACAUAUCUCGUAGAGCUUCUCAAGCUCGGGCGUCUACCUCGAAUAGGAUGACUAGGUUGAGGAACAGUUUCCCUGGACAACCUCGUACUAUCUCAUCAGCUAGAGGAAGAAAUUCACUGUUUCCUCCUAACAUGGAUGUGGACAUGAGGAUGCAUAUAUUGGAAACAUUAGAAGCUUUCAGUAAUAUGGAUGUUGACAGUAACCUCCUUCAGACGCAGCGCGACUUCAAUGAGAAUGACUAUGAAAUGCUAUUGGCCCUUGAUGAGAACAACCACCAACAUGGUGGUUCAUCUGCACGACAAAUCAACAACCUGCCACAGUCAACAGUUCAGAAUGAGAGUCUUCAAGAACCGUGUGCUGUUUGUCUCGAAACUCCUACCAUGGGGGACGUUAUCCGCCAUCUCCCUUGUUUACACAAGUUUCACAAAGACUGCAUUGAUCCAUGGCUGAGCAGAAAAUCAUCAUGCCCAGUUUGCAAAUGUUUGAUAUCUUAACCUGCUUUAGAGAUGAUAGGUGGGAUUCAUGCGAGUUGCAGCUUAGAUUUUGAUACAAAUCUUGUACUUUAUGUUCAAGGUUUUCCAAUAGUUGGAUGAAUUUGUCAACUAUGGAUGGCACUUUAACCAUUCAACCAUGGAUGCUUAGCAAUAAAUGGUAAUACCAUUUCGUUAGAUAGGAACAGAUUUGACAGAUACCGUUUAACACGAGGGAAUGAGGACAAAAAGACCCAAUAGAUAAUGAAACUGUUAGUUCUAUGUACUGGGUAUAUUGACUCCAAGCUUCUCAUAUAAAGGGAUCAAACUUUUUUGCAUAAAUCAACAAAGGAAAAGUUAGCCUAGCACUACCCUGUGAUGAACAACUUAGAGCGGAGCUUGAAGAGCGAAACGAGCUGUGCUAGUAUAAUAAUGGCUUGAGUUCACUUUGAUGGUUUUUUGUUAGGUUGCCCGAAGUCUAUAUAAAUUUGAUCCGAAUAAAAAAUAAUUAAAAAGUAGUUCCAUUAUUGAAGUA